ACUGCGAGUGAAGAGGGAAGAGCUCAUCAUUGGAAUCUGGCAGUGUUGCACUGUCCGAGUUGUAGAUGAGGAGUAGUCCGUCUGGACUGCAUGGCGUCCAAGUACAAUAGGCCGUCAGUGGGACAUCAUAGAGGGUGACAAUCCCGUCCUUGACGCUAAUGUGCAAGUCUAUUACGAUGGCUAUCUCAGAGAGUCGAGCAGUUUGGGAUUUGCUGCUUAAACAUGGGAGGUAGAUUCCUUCUAAAGCUAAAUACAGGCGAGAGACCGAUAGAGAACAAGUACCGCAAGGGAAAGAUGAAAUAGCACUCUGUGAAGGGAGUCAAAAGGCGUGAAAUUGUUGCGAGAGAAGCGAUUCAAGUCAGCGUAGCUAGGCCCAUCAAGCGUCUUCGCUUUGGACUAGCUUUGCCAGCGGUCUUGUCCCUUAAAGAGACUUGACUUGUAAUAUGUCCAGCCUGGCGUGCACAGGCAGCCCCUUCUGGGGGCCAGUGGCAUGGCUGGUGGAAUGGCUUGCAAUCGACCCGUCUUGAAACACGGACCAAGGAGUCUAACAUGUAUGCGAGUAUAAGGGUGGCAAACCCGUAUGCGCAAUGAAAGUGAUUUUCGGUGAUUGAGAAUGGCCUGAUGACCAGACAAGCAAUACAUGUCCCUCGUACGGCCAUUGCCCAAGUUCCGUGGUAGAUCCCACGAACAUGGAGUUGGAGCAUACAUGCUAGGACCCGAAAGAUGGUGAACUAUGCCUGGACAAAGCGAAGCCAAAGGAAACUCUGGUGGAGGCUUGUAGCGAUUCUGACGUGCAAAUCGAUCGUCUGAUCUGGGUAUAGGGGCGA
This 827-nucleotide ribosomal RNA is filed under the name Cantharellus flavus. RNAcentral's name for it is "partial large subunit ribosomal RNA". It matches the Rfam family "Eukaryotic large subunit ribosomal RNA", at positions 86 to 926 of the family's 3401-position model. Lineage: Eukaryota; Fungi; Basidiomycota; Agaricomycetes; Cantharellales; Hydnaceae. The record is from RNAcentral.